GAUGAACGCUGGCGGCGUGCCUAAUACAUGCAAGUCGAGCGAACGGACGAGAAGCUUGCUUCUCUGAUGUUAGCGGCGGACGGGUGAGUAACACGUGGAUAACCUACCUAUAAGACUGGGAUAACUUCGGGAAACCGCAGCUAAUACCGGAUAAUAUUUUGAACCGCAUGGUUCAAAAGUGAAUGACGGUCUUGCUGUCACUUAUAGAUGGAUCCGCGCUGCAUUAGCUAGUUGGUAAGGUAACGGCUUACCAAGGCAACGAUGCGUAGCCGACCUGAGAGGAUGAUCAGCCACACUGGAACUGAGACACGGUCCAGACUCCUACGGGAGGCAGCAGUAGGGAAUCUUGGGCAAUGGGCGCAAGCCUGAUGGAGCAACGCCGCGUGAGUGAUGAAGGUCUUCGGAUCGUAAAACUCUGUUAUUAGGGAAGAACAGAUGUAUAAGUAACUGUGGAUGUCUUGACGGUACCUAAUCAGAAAGCAACGGCUAACUACGUG
Molecule: ribosomal RNA, 497 nt
Filed under: uncultured bacterium
Lineage: Bacteria
Description: partial 16S ribosomal RNA
Rfam family: Bacterial small subunit ribosomal RNA
Source: RNAcentral